CCUACGGGAGGCAGCAGUGAGGAAUAGUGGUCAAUGGGCGAGAGCCGGAACCAGCCAAGUAGCGUGAAGGAUGACUGCCCUACGGGUUGUAAACUUCUUUUAUAAAGGAAUAAAGUGAGGCACGUGUGCCGUUUUGUAUGUACCUUAUGAAUAAGGAUCGGCUAACUCCGUGCCAGCAGCCGCGGUAAUACGGAGGAUCCGAGCGUUAUCCGGAUUUAUUGGGUUUAAAGGGAGCGUAGAUGGGUUGGUAAGUCAGUUGUGAAAGUUUGCGGCUCAACCGUAAAAUUGCAAUUGAUACGGGCAGUCUUGAGUACAGUUGCGGUAGGCGGAAUUCGUGGUGUCGCGG
This 346-nucleotide ribosomal RNA is filed under the name uncultured bacterium. RNAcentral describes it as "partial 16S ribosomal RNA". It matches the Rfam family "Bacterial small subunit ribosomal RNA", at positions 338 to 681 of the family's 1533-position model. The record is from RNAcentral.